GACGAACGCUGGCGGCGUGCUUAACACAUGCAAGUCGAACGGAAAGGCCCUGCUUUUGUGGGUUGCUCGAGUGGCGAACGGGUGAGUAACACGUGAGUAACCUGCCCUUGACUUUGGGAUAACUACAGGAAACUGGGGCUAAUACCGGCUAGGAGCUCCUGCUGCAUGGUGGGGGUUGGAAAGUUUCGGAGGUUGGCGAUGGACUCGCGGCUUAUCAGCUUGUUGGUGGGGUAGUGGCUUACCAAGGCUUUGACGGGUAGCCGGCCUGAGAGGGUGACCGGCCACAUUGGGACUGAGGUACGGCCCAGACUCCUACGGGAGGCAGCAGUGGGGAAUAUUGCACAAUGGGCGGAAGCCUGAUGCAGCAACGCCGCGUGCGGGAUGACGGCCUUCGGGUUGUAAACCGCUUUCGCCUGUGACGAAGCGUGAGUGACGGUAAUGGGUAAAGAAGCACCGGCUAGCUACGUG
RNAcentral lists this ribosomal RNA (468 nucleotides) under uncultured bacterium. RNAcentral describes it as "partial 16S ribosomal RNA". It matches the Rfam family "Bacterial small subunit ribosomal RNA", at positions 28 to 507 of the family's 1533-position model. The record is from RNAcentral.